This 252-nucleotide ribosomal RNA is filed under the name uncultured bacterium. RNAcentral describes it as "partial 16S ribosomal RNA". It matches the Rfam family "Bacterial small subunit ribosomal RNA", at positions 524 to 776 of the family's 1533-position model. The record is from RNAcentral.
UACGUAGGGGGCGAGCGUUAUCCGGAUUCAUUGGGCGUAAAGCGCGCGUAGGCGGCCGCCUAAGCGGAACCUCUAACCCCGGGGCUCAACCUCGGGCCGGGUUCCGGACUGGGCGGCUCGAGUGCGGUAGAGGAGAGCGGAAUUCCCGGUGUAGCGGUGGAAUGCGCAGAUAUCGGGAAGAACACCGAUGGCGAAGGCAGCUCUCUGGGCCGUCACUGACGCUGAGGCGCGAAAGCGUGGGGAGCAAACAGG